GUCCUCGAAGUGUACCGGAUCAGCACGCGACCCUGCGAAGGUCGAAGACUUGGGUUCAAUUCCCAGCGAGGGCAC
RNAcentral lists this transfer RNA (75 nucleotides) under Anatilimnocola aggregata. Its description in RNAcentral is "Planctomycetes bacterium ETA_A8 tRNA-Arg". It matches the Rfam family "tRNA". From Rfam's summary of the family: Transfer RNA (tRNA) molecules are approximately 80 nucleotides in length. Their secondary structure includes four short double-helical elements and three loops (D, anti-codon, and T loops). The record is from RNAcentral. Lineage: Bacteria; Pseudomonadati; Planctomycetota; Planctomycetia; Pirellulales; Pirellulaceae.